AUUGCUUCUCAGCCUUUUGGCUAAGAUCAAGUG
Molecule: small nuclear RNA, 33 nt
Filed under: Cervus elaphus hippelaphus
Lineage: Eukaryota; Metazoa; Chordata; Mammalia; Artiodactyla; Cervidae
Source: RNAcentral